CUCCCUGACAGUGCCAUGGGCAUCUGAGUUCUUUGUUUUCCUCUGGUGGUUAGGGCUUAAAGGAAAAGACGUUUCCAUGCUGCACGCAGUGAGUGCUCAUGCAAGAGAAAUUGGAUUUAAUUUGUAAGACAAGGCACCGGAAAGCAGACAGGUGAAAAACAAGCCAAGGACUGUCCCUCCUGCGGUUGCUAGGAGAGAAACCUCCAGCCCUCAGCCAUCACUUCCUGCUUGCAGAUCUAAAUGCCAUCAAGUGUGAUCAUUCCUCCAUAGCUUCAAUUUAAGGGCCUCUGAAUUUCCAGUUUGAGGAGCACAUUGAUAAGACGUAUCUGUUGCUCAGUACAACGAUGCCUGUGGGACUUGGGGGAGGGGAUAUUUAAAAAAGGCCACACUGGAAGUAUUAAUACGCGUACGGCAGUAAAACAUUCAGCUAAAACAGCAAUACAACAGACUUCCGAUGGGCCUCUGGAGGCAUUAGAAGAAGCAUCUUCAUUCCACAGGCGUGUUCAGCCAGAGAUAAAUCAACUCUGCACUGCCGAAAAGAAAUAGAAGCCUGCUAUAUCUUCUCUAAAGAUUUGUAGGAUGCCCAGUUUGGGGAGUGCUGGGGGAAGACUGCGUGUUGUUUUUGAAACUGAGACUUGAAUAUGGCUGUAAUGUUAACCACAUUUACUUCUGGCUGGGGAAGCCAGCUUAGCAAGUUUGAGGUCUCUUAAGGUCAUUUCUCACCGAGUUGUCUGCCUGACUUUGACAUAUCCUCUUGCAGGGUGCGAUCCUUUUGACACACGUAGUGGGCUCUUUGUAUAACCCAUGGCCAUUUCCAUCCAUGUCUGUGCAUCUUACAUGAAUUGAAAUAAGAGUGGACAGCAGGCGAGGGUCUGUCAAGUGCCAGGGGCUGGAGAGGCGCUUUAAAGAAUGGACAGAAAGGGUCUAUAUGUGUAAAAAGAUGGCUCCAAGUGCUGGCAUACGGAGUGGGAAGGAGAAGUGUGCACCAGAAAGUUCCAAGUCCAUCACUGCCCUCUACCACAGAUAGUUUACUU
Molecule: long non-coding RNA, 1034 nt
Filed under: Mus musculus (house mouse)
Lineage: Eukaryota; Metazoa; Chordata; Mammalia; Rodentia; Muridae
Description: long non-coding RNA chr12:107047272-107048306
Source: RNAcentral